AUUUGAUGAUGAGGGCAUUGAAUACAUAGUUGCUCAAAUCUUUCCCAAUACUCGGAAAGUGUCUCUCCAGAGAUGAGUCGAAUCCCACAUAUUUCUUUCCUUAUAUU
This 107-nucleotide small RNA is filed under the name Salix viminalis (osier). Lineage: Eukaryota; Viridiplantae; Streptophyta; Magnoliopsida; Malpighiales; Salicaceae. The record is from RNAcentral.